RNAcentral lists this ribosomal RNA (467 nucleotides) under uncultured bacterium. RNAcentral's name for it is "partial 16S ribosomal RNA". It matches the Rfam family "Bacterial small subunit ribosomal RNA", at positions 29 to 507 of the family's 1533-position model. The record is from RNAcentral.
ACGAACGCUGGCGGCGUGCUUAACACAUGCAAGUCGCACGGAAAGGCCCUGCUUUUGUGGGGUGCUCGAGUGGCGAACGGGUGAGUAACACGUGAGUAACCUGCCCUUGACUUUGGGAUAACUUCAGGAAACUGGGGCUAAUACCGGUUAGGAGCUCCUGCUGCAUGGUGGGGGUUGGAAAGUUUCGGCGGUUGGGGAUGGACUCGCGGCUUAUCAGCUUGUUGGUGGGGUAGUGGCUUACCAAGGCUUUGACGGGUAGCCGGCCUGAGAGGGUGACCGGCCACAUUGGGACUGAGAUACGGCCCAGACUCCUACGGGAGGCAGCAGUGGGGAAUAUUGCACAAUGGGCGGAAGCCUGAUGCAGCAACGCCGCGUGCGGGAUGACGGCCUUCGGGUUGUAAACCGCUUUCGCCUGUGACGAAGCGUGAGUGACGGUAAUGGGUAAAGAAGCACCGGCUAACUACGUG